Pelobates cultripes (western spadefoot toad) is the source of this 904-nucleotide non-coding RNA. Lineage: Eukaryota; Metazoa; Chordata; Amphibia; Anura; Pelobatidae. The record is from the annotation of a GenBank genome assembly.
GCCUGGCCACGCUACAUUCAAUGAUCAGCAAGAGAUUAAUGUGUCCCCUCCUGCCACUCAACCUGUGAUUGCGCCGUCCUCGCCAUAGUCGGCCACGCACUGUCCUGAAUGUUUGCCGGCUGCGGUGUAGCGGAUGGCAUUGGGCUGUCCUCAGAAUUAUGUGUAUUCAUAUGUUUUCGGUUAAUUUUUGCCAUAUGUAUGUAAAGUGUAUGCAGCAUUCGCCUGAUUGUUCGGUAAAAUCACUCCAGUUAUUAUGCGAGUGAAACUACCGAACAAUCAGACCACCCCAGGAAUAAGUGUGCCUCCAAUUACCGUUUGCAACAAUGUUGCAAACGGGUAAUUGGCAAUCAGUGCAGUGUGUGCUUUGUCCUCUGGGUGGCCGCCAUUCGGGAGACUAACACGUGGCGGCUGCCACCUUAAACUCCCAAACAGCGGUGUUUUGCCGUCGAGUGUCUGGAACCCAAAUCGGACACUCGGUUAGGCAAACACUGCUGAGACCUCCACACUGCCGUCACUUCGUGUAGAAACUACCGAACGGCUCCCUGUUCAGUAGAAAGAACCCCACGAACAAGGGGGUUUAUCCGAAUCCUCCCCAGUCUCCAUAACCCAAGCCGUUCGGGCAUUGUGUUCCCUUUUUCUGUGACCGACCUCAGGGCCAAAAUGUAUGGAACCCAUUUCGGCUGUUAACCCCAGCACGGUCGGUCUUUUUACUACCUCCAGGAAUUUCCCAAACCCCUGGUCCGAUCUGGGUUAUUUUUGAAUAUGUUUCUCACCCAGAUCAGGGCAACCAGGGGAUCUAAUAUUUAAAGGGGUACCCAUAUGUUUAGGGGUACAUCCAGAAAACCAGGGGAACUGUGUCCUGCAUAAUGGGAUUAUGAGUCAUACUAAGGGGAGGGGAUGUGUG